This 451-nucleotide ribosomal RNA is filed under the name uncultured bacterium. RNAcentral describes it as "partial 16S ribosomal RNA". It matches the Rfam family "Bacterial small subunit ribosomal RNA", at positions 354 to 796 of the family's 1533-position model. The record is from RNAcentral.
GUGGGGAAUAUUGGACAAUGGGCGCAAGCCUGAUCCAGCCAUGCCGCGUGUGUGAAGAAGGCCUUUUGGUUGUAAAGCACUUUAAGCGAGGAGGAGGCUCCUUUAGUUAAUACCUAAAGAGAGUGGACGUUACUCGCAGAAUAAGCACCGGCUAACUCUGUGCCAGCAGCCGCGGUAAUACAGAGGGUGCGAGCGUUAAUCGGAUUUACUGGGCGUAAAGCGUGCGUAGGCGGCUUUUUAAGUCGGAUGUGAAAUCCCUGAGCUUAACUUAGGAAUUGCAUUCGAUACUGGAAAGCUAGAGGAUGGGAGAGGAUGGUAGAAUUCCAGGUGUAGCGGUGAAAUGCGUAGAGAUCUGGAGGAAUACCGAUGGCGAAGGCAGCCAUCUGGCCUAAUACUGACGCUGAGGUACGAAAGCAUGGGGAGCAAACAGGAUUAGAUACCCCGGUAGUCC